CCACUAGGACUUGCCCUUGGUAAAGCUAUGCUGGUUAUCCCCUGUCACUUCUCACUCUUCCAUGUGCUCUAGCAUAGCUUCCAGCACGAUCUUCUCCAGGAUCUUCUCUGGUGCAAAGAGAACAGCCACGGCUUCAGGCUGAAUCCUGCAGGGUCAUCUACUUUCAACUCACUAACCUGGAUGCAGGUGCAGUCACCGACUGUCACAGGAAGAGGCAGAAAGAUGGUUGGUUGAAUUGACCUGCUUCUAGGAGCUUCUUUCAUGUUCUCUCCCAUUCUUCUCUAGCAUUAACGUCAAGUAAAUAAAUACAAGGUCCUCAGGUCCUUUCAUUUGUGACUGUGUCUGUGUUCGCUCUUCAGAUGUGCAGGUGAGUUUCUUGUCUUUU
Molecule: non-coding RNA, 385 nt
Organism: Coturnix japonica (Japanese quail)
Lineage: Eukaryota; Metazoa; Chordata; Aves; Galliformes; Phasianidae
Source: RefSeq, a predicted model, not a curated record